This 106-nucleotide transfer RNA is filed under the name Ostreococcus lucimarinus CCE9901. It matches the Rfam family "tRNA". From Rfam's summary of the family: Transfer RNA (tRNA) molecules are approximately 80 nucleotides in length. Their secondary structure includes four short double-helical elements and three loops (D, anti-codon, and T loops). Further hydrogen bonds mediate the characteristic L-shaped molecular structure. tRNAs have two regions of fundamental functional importance: the anti-codon, which is responsible for specific mRNA codon recognition, and the 3' end, to which the tRNAs corresponding amino acid is attached (by aminoacyl-tRNA synthetases). tRNAs cope with the degeneracy of the genetic code in two manners: having more than one tRNA (with a specific anti-codon) for a particular amino acid; and 'wobble' base-pairing, i.e. permitting non-standard base-pairing at the 3rd anti-codon position. Lineage: Eukaryota; Viridiplantae; Chlorophyta; Mamiellophyceae; Mamiellales; Bathycoccaceae. The record is from Rfam by way of RNAcentral.
GACAAUGUGCCCGAGUGGUCUAAGGGGGUGGAUUUAGGCCGCACGCGGAUCGACGCGCGAAACUUUCCACUGCUCACGCGCGCGGGUUCAAAUCCCGUCAUUGUCA